Molecule: non-coding RNA, 72 nt
Organism: Nematostella vectensis (starlet sea anemone)
Lineage: Eukaryota; Metazoa; Cnidaria; Anthozoa; Actiniaria; Edwardsiidae
Source: Rfam
GCUGUGAUCGUAUAGUGGUUAGUACAUUACGUAAUGUCCGCAAUAACCCAGGUUCGAAUCCUGGUCACGGCA